AGAAAAAUAAGCUAAAUAGCAAGCUAAUGAGUUCAUACCUCAUAAAUGGAUAAACCCUUUUUCUA
Molecule: transfer RNA, 65 nt
Filed under: Pulchriphyllium bioculatum
Lineage: Eukaryota; Metazoa; Arthropoda; Insecta; Phasmatodea; Phylliidae
Description: tRNA-Met
Source: RNAcentral